RNAcentral lists this ribosomal RNA (646 nucleotides) under uncultured Basidiomycota. RNAcentral's name for it is "LSU rRNA". It matches the Rfam family "Eukaryotic large subunit ribosomal RNA", at positions 1 to 634 of the family's 3401-position model. The record is from RNAcentral. Lineage: Eukaryota; Fungi; Basidiomycota.
CCUCAAAUCAGGUAGGACUACCCGCUGAACUUAAGCAUAUCAAUAAGCGGAGGAAAAGAAACUAACAAGGAUUCCCCUAGUAACUGCGAGUGAAGCGGGAAAAGCUCAAAUUUAAAAUCUGGUGGCUUCGCCGUCCGAGUUGUAAUCUGGAGAAGCGUUUUCCGUGUUGGACCGUGUACAAGUCUCUUGGAACAGAGCGUCAUAGAGGGUGAGAACCCCGUCUUUGACACGGACUACCAAUGCUUUGUGAUACGCUCUCGAAGAGUCGAGUUGUUUGGGAAUGCAGCUCAAAAUGGGUGGUAAAUUCCAUCUAAAGCUAAAUAUUGGCGAGAGACCGAUAGCGAACAAGUACCGUGAGGGGAAGAUGAAAAGCACUUUGGAAAGAGAGUUAAACAGUACGUGAAAUUGUUGAAAGGGAAACGCUUGAAGUCAGUCGCGUUGUCCGGGACUCAGCCUUGCUUCUGCUUGGUGUAUUUCCUGGUUGACGGGCCAACAUCGAUUUUGGACGGCGGAUAAAGGUGAGGGGAAUGUGGCAUCCUCGGAUGUGUUAUAGCCUCUCGUCGGAUGCGUCGUCUGGGAUCGAGGACCGCAGCACGCCUUUUUGGCCGGGGUUCGCCCACGUAACGUGCUUAGGAUGUUGGCAUAA